Molecule: ribosomal RNA, 356 nt
Filed under: Photorhabdus sp.
Lineage: Bacteria; Pseudomonadati; Pseudomonadota; Gammaproteobacteria; Enterobacterales; Morganellaceae
Description: bacterial SSU rRNA
Rfam family: Bacterial small subunit ribosomal RNA
Source: RNAcentral
GAGGGCGGGGGAUAACCACUGGAAACGGUGGCUAAUACCGCAUAAUGUCGCAAGACCAAAGUGGGGGACCUGAAAGGGCCUCACGCCGUCGGAUGAACCCAGAUGGGAUUAGCUGGUAGGUAGGGUAAUGGCCUACCUAGGCGACGAUCCCUAGCUGGUCUGAGAGGAUGACCAGCCACACUGGGACUGAGACACGGCCCAGACUCCUACGGGAGGCAGCAGUGGGGAAUAUUGCACAAUGGGCGCAAGCCUGAUGCAGCCAUGCCGCGUGUAUGAAAAAGGCCUUCGGGUUGUAAAGUACUUUCAGCGGGGAAGGAAGGGUUGAGCCUGAACAGGGCUGGGCCUUGACCUUACCC